UCCCUCCAAACAGUAAAAGAAUAUUAUAAAGCUAAAAGGUAAAACAAUAAUUUCUAAUUAAAAUUCAAUUAUUAGAAAAAGUAAAAAAAAACAAACCAGCCAACUGUUUUCUUGUAAAAGACAAAAGGCUGGAAAAUAAUAAGAAAAGAAAUUGAAGAAAUAACAAAACACGUAAACCCUAAAAUAAUUAAGAGAACAAGAUAAUCACCGCGAGGCGGCGACCGGAGAGGGGCGAGGAGCGAGGAGCGGCAAGGUGCUGAUACGCCGGCGGCGCUGGAGAUCCGACAAGGAGUCUCCCCUUUCUCCGCUUCCUCGCUUCAGCGCUGCACUCAAGUACUAAGUUGUUGGUUCACCGGUUGCUACGAGUCGUCGAGCCAACGGUGGGCCGGUGGCGAUGGAGAAGGCCGGCGGUCCGACAGCGAGGGUGAGGACCGACGGCUAGGGACGGUUCGAAGACUAAGAGAGGCGAGAGAGAAAGUGGUGAAUUUGAACAGGUAAACCCUAAAAUGUGAGUUUGGGCUGGGUGGGUACGUACCUUAUUUUCAAAAUCCGAAUCCAAGCCGUCCCCGGUUUCAUCUGAACCGUACCCAAAUAUGAACCCCGUACCCGCCCGAUUGGAUUCGCCCUGGGUACGUAUCCUGGGCGUACCCGUACCGUACCCGUACCGUACCCGUACCCGGUACGGGAAACGGCACCUCCCAGGCGUACCCGGGCUUCAUAGAAGAAGGAUACAUCCUCAAGAUGCCUUCAAAACAGAAAAUAUAUGAUGACAAAGAGAGAGAUACAGCUGGAGGACAAGGUGUCCUCACAGUGAAUGACAAAAUAUUUACAAGUUAGCCCAAUUACUUUCUAAUUCCUUUGAAAGUUCCAGGUGCCUUAGCCAUAAGGGACGCAAACAAAGUUAUUUUAUUCCAUAAUAAAUAAGAAGGGAAAGCAAACUGUAGAAAAGAUAAGAGCGUCCCAUCCCAUUCCAGCAUUUCCAGCCAAGUGCAACUUUGACAGAACCUUCUCCUUCCCCAAAACAAAUUUGCAACCACUCUUUUGUAUGCAUAGGACGAACCCAAACUUGCUAACUCGUAAUGAAGUAAAACAUAUGAACAAGACUCCCCACUAGCUCGGAAAAGCAAGCAAAUGUCUGCAAAUAACAAAUCUGAGAAGCAAAGCACAAACCUCUUACCAAGCUGAACUGGACAAGUUCAUCAACUAGCUUUUGCCGAGCUACAUCAAGUCGUCCACCCAUGAAAUACUUCUUUAGUUUCACCCAGUAGCCACAAACAUUAUAACCAUCAACAAGCAAGACAGGUACAACACUAUCAACAACCUGACUUGUACUGCAUUGAAUUUUAGAACCGAAGUAUCUUCAUCAGAUGAGAAGCAAAAGCUAAAUAACUAUAGGUUAUAUCCACGGGGGCUAAAAUAACUCUAGGUUAUAUCCACGGGGAAACUUACUAAUAGAGUGACAAGGUUGGAUCCUUAUAAAGCUCUGCAUCUGGGGGAAGGUCCUCCUUCUCCACCUUCUUCCGACGAUAGCUAGUAGCUGGCUUAGGUGUGCAGGAUUUGCUUUUCUGGAAUUCCUACAAAAAUAAUUACCUGGAGAUUGGAGAUCUGAUCGUCAUAACAAACCAGAUCUGUUCAUACGCUGGAAACAUAAGUACCUUCCACAACUUCAAAAAUUGCCAAUUCUGCUUAACAUUUGUUGUGAUCCUUGGAGGUGGGUCAGAGUCCUACAUAAGGGCAAAUUAGGUCAACUUCAACUCAAUAUUCCUCAAGAAAGGUGCAUUCACAUUAGUGAUCAGUCGAAGCAAAGUUGCAAACUAUCUGACAAUAGAAAACUUGAAUACAGUCUUGGAUAUUAUUCCCAAAAAUAGAAAGUGAAACUACAAUGAACAGACUAAUGGAAGGGCACUGCAGGGAUUCGAGGAAUGACUAUAUAAAUACGGCUAUGGGUAGCUUCAGGGAAUAAGUAGAGAAGUGGUUAGGUGUAAUGGACAGUACCUCCAAGCCAGCUAUACACUUGGUCUACAACACAAGACACAUGAAAAGACAAGAAGAAUCAGCAACAGCACUGCAGGGAACCAACAACAACAAUAUGUAGGAGCAGGGGUAGAAGCCAUUAGCAGCAUGAGGACAAACAACCUAAUUAAUGUAAUGUACUUGCCUAAAUGCCUUGAGAAUAUAAGUAGAAUGAAAGGGAUAGAGAAGGGUAUUGUGUAUUGAGAAGUAAAGUGAGAUUUGUAACCUAAAGUUACUGCUAUGGAUAGUAGUAGCCUCAAGCUACUGUUUUGUAACCAACUUUACCUUUCUGGGAAUUCAGUAAUCAAAGCUUCCAUCUUUC
Molecule: long non-coding RNA, 2335 nt
Organism: Spinacia oleracea (spinach)
Lineage: Eukaryota; Viridiplantae; Streptophyta; Magnoliopsida; Caryophyllales; Amaranthaceae
Exons: 2
Source: RefSeq, a predicted model, not a curated record